This 279-nucleotide ribosomal RNA is filed under the name uncultured bacterium. Its description in RNAcentral is "partial 16S ribosomal RNA". It matches the Rfam family "Bacterial small subunit ribosomal RNA", at positions 506 to 784 of the family's 1533-position model. The record is from RNAcentral.
UGCCAGCCGCCGCGGUAAUACGUAUGUGGCAAGCGUUGUUCGGAAUCACUGGGCAUAAAGAGUUCGUAGGCGGAUGUAUCAGUUGGGUGUGAAAUCCCGGGGCUUACCCCCGGAACUGCACCCAAUACUGUAUAUCUGGAGUCCUUCAGGGGUAAGUGGAAUUCCAUGUGUAGCGGUGAAAUGCGUAGAUAUAUGGGAGAACGCCAAUGGCGAAGGCAGCUUACUGGGGAGUGACUGACGCUGAGGAACGAAAGUUAGGGUAUCGAACGGGAUUAGAUA